Molecule: long non-coding RNA, 3958 nt
Filed under: Vitis vinifera (wine grape)
Lineage: Eukaryota; Viridiplantae; Streptophyta; Magnoliopsida; Vitales; Vitaceae
Description: long non-coding RNA (VVIN_LNC002512)
Source: RNAcentral
GGUACGCGUCGAGGCGCGCUGCAGGUACGCGUCGAGGCGCGCUUCAGGUACGCGUCGAGGCGCGCUUCAGGUACGCGUCGAGGCGCGCUUCAGGUACGCGUCGAGGCGCGCUUCAGGUACGCGUCGAGGCGCGCUGCAGGUACGCGUCGAGCCCAAAAGGCAUACGAGUCAGACUUCAAGACAUGGAAGAGGCGCGCCUCCGGUGCGCUUUUCAGACCUGGAGGGUGGACGCGUAAGUUUUGAUGUAGUUGAACAAAAGAUGAAAUGGAUGCAAGUUUCAGAAAAGAAUCCAAACCCUUUCCAAGUCCCAACUCUUUUUCUCUCGUGGACGCCCCUCGCUCUUCUCUGCUUUCCCGUGGUUGCAGUGCAGGUUCUGCUCUCUCCUUUCUCUCCUCAUUUCGUUUUCAUUCUCUCUCUCUCUCUCUCUCUCUCUUCCUCUAUUUAUUUUUUUCCCUUUUAUGAAUUACAACAUAAAUGUCACUUAUUUUUAAUCCCGCAUUAUUGUGAUUUAUUGGCAAAAUAAAAGGAAAAAUUACUUAGUUAUGUAUGAUUUCCAUAUUUUACAAAUUUUUUUUUGUUUGCAAUUCAUGUGUUCAAAUUACAAAAAAAAAAAAAAUGUAAUUAAAUUAUUGUUCUUUUUAUAUAUAACAAAAAAUAAUGCAAUUCCAUCAUUAUCCUUUUUCUCAAGUAAUAAAAAAGUAUACAAUUUAAAUAUUAAUUUAAGUGAAAAAAUACAUUAUUUAGGUGAAUUUUUUUAUAAAUUUUUUUUUUUUAAAAUAUAUAUAAAAUGUAAGAGCACAUACCUUGUUUAUUUGAAAAUUUUCAAGUUCAAUUUUUUAAAAUUUUAAGAUUUUAAAAAGAGUUUUUAAGAUACAAAGUAAAUUUUGUAUUUUUUAUAAGAGCUCUUAUAUUUUGUUCGAGGUUUUUAAUUUUAAAAAUAAAAUAGAAAGUAUAUUUAAAUGUCACCUUAGUUAUUCUUAAUUAUUUUGAUUUAUUAUGAAGUUUAUUAUUUUUUAUUUGUUAUUUUGUAUAUGUUAUAAAUUAUUUUUUAUAUUUACUAGUUAUGAAAAUUAAAUUAUCAAAAGCUUCGGAAUGUCAUCCUAGGACACUAAAAUGCCUAUUCUAGGCUUUUAACUUCAAAAAAAUGUAAGGUAGAAAGGGUUGACAUCCUAUCAAAUAUGAAACAUGUUUAGGAAUGAUUCUAAUUAAAACCCUUUUAGUCCAUGACAUUUUUUGUUAAUAGUGUUUUCAUUAAAAAGGCAUUUAAGGAAAAUUACUUAGUGUUUGUGUUAGUGUUCAAACUCUUGAAGUUGGGUUUGCUACUAAUAUGACCUAACAAUGCAAGUAGUGAUUGAUUAACUUAUGCAUAUAAUCUCUUUAUGAAUUAAUAUCCGUAAUCUAACAAGGUGAAAGAUGACAAUUUCUCAAGAUUACUUUUAUCAUCCUUGAGUUCCAAAUCCUCCUAUAAUAUAAUUAAUUAACAUAUCUUAACUCACAAAGAGCUUAUAUCAAAUUUCACUAAAGAAACCAUUAUGGUCAUAGUUUACUUAAACACAUCUCUGUAGGAUUGCCCAAGGGGACAUAAUGUCUUAAUUUCAUGAUAUAUCAUAAUGCUCAUAUUGAAAAUACAUAUUGCUAUCAAAUUUCAUCAACAGUGAUCCAAUUUAUAGGGAAUAUAUAAUUACUUUAGGAUUUCACUCGUACAUCAAAGUCAUUGCUAACUUUGUUACAAACUUAAUAUUCUCUCAAGGUUCAUAGUAGUUUAAUAAAGUCAUAACUACUCGAUAGCCUUACGUCAUGAUUCAACAUAAGUUUUCUCUAAUGUGUAACCGAACACACUAGUGUAUUUACUAUAGGAACCUCAUCCUAGUGGGUAAAACCAGUUAUCUCUUUAAUUAGGAGGUAAUGCAUUACAACCUAUAAUGAAUUGUCUAAGUCCAUGAAUUGACCUAUAAAUAAAUCAUCUAUUUGUAAAGAACUUAUGACUUGAAUUUUCCCGUACAACUUUUAAUAUAUCCAAGUCAUGCAAAAUACAAGAAAUAUAAGUCAAAAUACUCAUAAGAUAAAAUGUAUGAAAUAAGAAUAGAUUAAAAUGCAACUGAAACUUUAUUAAAUAAAUUAUAAACUUUAAAUUUGUUGUAUCAUAUCAUACUUUUCAGGACUCUUAAUAGAUGUAUUAUUAUUCAUAUACUUCAAAAACAAUAUCAUAAUUUAUUUUAUUGUCUACGUUGAUCAUGACCUUAUCAAUACUAGUAACCACUUAAGCUUUACUUCUCAUUUCAUUGCAAGCCUCUCAUUAUAGUUCUUCGUGAAGGAUCUUAGAGAUCUACAUGACUUCCUCGAUCUUAAGGUUGUCCCUACUACCAAAUGGAAUGUUUCUACCUCUACAUAAAUACAUUUGGGACCUCCUACAACCUCACCAUAUAUCAUAAGCCAAAGUAGUGAACAUUCCAUUAUCAACCUUAACACCUUUGGUUCACUAUGAUGGUAGUACUCUUUCCUAUAACCCAACGCAAUCUUGACAAGUGGUUAGAACCGAACCCUCUAAUCUUCAGCCGCGCAAAUGGCAUCUUCUUUGUUGUAAACAAGUCAUCUUAAGUCAUGCAUUAACCAACUCAUACGCAUUGUUCAAUUGCCACCUACCUACCUAUGUACCAAUCCAAUUUUUUACUCUCGUGUAUAAAACACGUUGCUAUUGAUUUUCAUUUUGUUCACGAUAAGGUUUUUGUCGGCCAACAUUGUGCGUCUCAUGUUUCCACUCAAGACCAACUUGUUGACGCUCUCACCAAAUCAUUAUUCCAUCAAUGACUUCUUUUAUUCCUUUCCAAGAUGGGUGUUUCCAAUGGAAGUGAAAUAUUGGGAACGAAUUAACAACUUUCUCCCAACCUCGUGGAUUCCAGCUCAUGAUCCACUCAUUCACAUGAAAUGAAAUCUCUUAACUUCAACUGCUCUCAAUAAUUCGCAAUUAAGCAUAUUGCAAUAUUCUCAUUUGUGUAUAUAUAUUAUUGUAAAACAUACAACAAUUUAUUCAAUUCAUUCCUUUUUCAGCAAACUUGCUUGACCCUAUUAAUGCCAUCUUACAUCCACUGUCAUUCCAUUCAUGAAAGCAGACCUUAAAAAAACCCUCGCUCAUAAAACAUCACUCCAAAAAAAAUCAGUUUUUUUUGCCAAAUUUACAACAAGAAUAUUUGUUUAUUUGGCAAGGAGAGGGACUGGACUGGAGAGCAAAAUCAGCCUGAAGUCACGGGUCAUGAAAUGGGAUUCCUGGCCUGAAAAAGGCAUGUGAAGCCAGUCCAAAUUCCGAGUAGAAAAAAGGUCUCCAGUGAGGGUGGGGACAUGGAGGCUGGAAAUUGUAAUAAUCCCAAGAGUAGUCUUGCGCCCUUGUCCAAAUGAGAACAUCACGAGAGAGAUUGAAAAUGGUGUCUCCAGCGUCUGUUUCUAGCACCGGCUUUGAAAAAGCAAUGUGAACGUAAUCAACUCAAAUAAAGAAUUGCCAAGAUUUUCCAUUGAAAAGCCCACCAUUCAUUCAUUCAUACAUUUUCUGCAACUUUUUUGUCUUCAUAUAAAACCUUCAUCAUCACCCAUCUCCAUUCACAAAACCAAGACGAGGGCUCGGGUUUCUUCUGAUGGAUCACCUGGGAUCAUUAACAAUUAGAAAAAUACUUGUCCCGAGUGUAAAAUGCCGGUCGGAAUGCCGCAAAGUUAAUGAGAAAAUGUUCAGUCUCGUUACCUUCAUAAAAAAAUAUUGAUUUUAUAAAUGUUUGAUAAGUUGAUUCCAAAAAAACACUUUUUAAAUAAUAAAAAAUUGGAUGAAUAAAUUUUAGUUGUUUUUUAAAAAUAAUUCUUGGAUUUUUAUUUUAUAAAAAUUGUGUAAAUUUAAUUUAUAUAAUCUUAAUUAAAUUAAUUGAAAUCUUAUUAAAAAUAAAAAUAAUUAUAAAUUUCUUAGUAAAAUAUGAAU